UGUAGCUGGCAAGCAAAGCGGCGUUAUGAAUAAAUUUAAGUUGCUAUAGAAACAAUGUUCUGUUGAUUGUCACUUGUGUCAUAGAAAAUAAAAAGAGCUAUCCAUUGUGUAUUCCUACUGUUGUAAUAAAUUAAUUUCGUGGACAAAUCUAUCUUCUAUUUUUUCUACUGUAAAAUCACACUCAGCCACACGCUCACACACGUCUGACAGUGACAAGACAAGGGAUUUUUCUUGUUUUGACGUAUUUUCUAACCUCUUAGAAUGUUAUUAGAAGUCGUAAUAAAGCUAUGUUUUAAAGUAAAUAAAGACCAUAUUAACGAUGUUAACAUGAUGAGACAUCGAUUUUAUGGAAUGGAGGAGAAGAUUUAACAGCUAGAUUAUUAACAAAAAUCUUGCAAGAGCAUCGAGAUCUCGCUUUUGGCGAGUGGAAGUCCAAAGGCAAAGUGCAGCGGUUUGCAGUUCUUAGCCUCACUUUUUUGGACCUAACAGGACAGGAAAAGAAUAGUCAAAGAGGAAACCCGAGUAGCCAGAUGAUAAUAUAUGAAACCAUGAGCAGCCAGCCAUUGAAACUCUCAGCAAUUUGAAUAACGAUUUUGAUUAUUACCAAUCAUGUAUCAUACCUAUUAAUAGAAAAUUAAAACUGUUAGGUACCUAUGUUUUA
This is a long non-coding RNA of Ostrinia furnacalis (Asian corn borer), 661 nucleotides long. RefSeq lists it as uncharacterized. NCBI's taxonomy places the organism in Eukaryota, Metazoa, Arthropoda, Insecta, Lepidoptera, Crambidae. The record is from RefSeq and is a predicted model, not a curated record. The transcript is spliced from 3 exons.